RNAcentral lists this ribosomal RNA (253 nucleotides) under uncultured bacterium. RNAcentral describes it as "partial 16S ribosomal RNA". It matches the Rfam family "Bacterial small subunit ribosomal RNA", at positions 524 to 776 of the family's 1533-position model. The record is from RNAcentral.
UACGUAGGGGGCAAGCGUUGUCCGGAUUUAUUGGGCGUAAAGAGCGUGUAGGCGGCCAGGUAGGUCCGUUGUGAAAACUCGAGGCUCAACCUCGAGACGUCGGCGGAAACCCUCUGGCUAGAGUCCGGAAGAGGAGCGUGGAAUUCCUGGUGUAGCGGUGAAAUGCGCAGAUAUCAGGAAGAACACCCGUGGCGAAGGCGGCUCUCUGGGACGGUACUGACGCUGAGACGCGAAAGCGUGGGGAGCAAACAGG